This 1488-nucleotide ribosomal RNA is filed under the name Clostridioides difficile. RNAcentral's name for it is "bacterial LSU rRNA". It matches the Rfam family "Bacterial large subunit ribosomal RNA", at positions 1026 to 2723 of the family's 2925-position model. The record is from RNAcentral. Lineage: Bacteria; Bacillati; Bacillota; Clostridia; Peptostreptococcales; Peptostreptococcaceae.
CCGAGAUCUACACGUAAGGAGUCGUCGGCAGCGUCAGAUGUGUAUAAGAGACAGGUAUGGGAGUGAGAAUGUUGGCAUGAGUAGCGAGAUGUGGGUGAGAAUCCCACAGGCCGUAAACCCAAGGUUUCCAGGGGAAGGUUCGUCCGCCCUGGGUUAGUCGGGACCUAAGCUGAGGCCGAAAGGCGUAGGUGAUGGACAACAGGUUGAUAUUCCUGUACUACCGAUAACCGUUUGAGAGAAGGGAUGACACAGUAGGAUAAGCUAAGCACACUGUUGGUUAUGUGUGCCCAAGCAUUGAGGCAGUCAAAGUAGGCAAAUCCGCUUUGAUAAUGCUGGGAUGUGAUGGGGAGCGAAAUUUAGUAGCGAAGUAGCUGAUUUCACACUGUCAAGAAAAGUCUCUAUCGAGGUUAAAGGUACCCGUACCGCAAACCGACACAGGUGGGUGAGGAGAGUAUCCUAAGGCCAGCGAGAGAACUGUUGUUAAGGAACUCGGCAAAAUGACCCCGUAACUUAGGGAUAAGGGGUGCCACCAUCAGGUGGCCGCAGAGAAUAGGCCCAAGCGACUGUUUACCAAAAACAUAGGUUUCUGCUAAGUCGCAAGACGAUGUAUAGGAGCUGACGCCUGCCCGGUGCUGGAAGGUUAAGGGGAUCUGUUAGAGCAAUCGAAGCAGUGAACUUAAGCCCCAGUAAACGGCGGCCGUAACUAUAACGGUCCUAAGGUAGCGAAAUUCCUUGUCGGGUAAGUUCCGACCCGCACGAAAGGCGUAACGAUUUGGGCACUGUCUCAACAACAGACUCGGUGAAAUUGUAAUUCCGGUGAAGAUGCCGGAUACCUGCGACAGGACGGAAAGACCCCAUGGAGCUUUACUGUAGCUUGACAUUGGGUCUUGGUACUACAUGUACAGGAUAGGUGGGAGGCUUUGAAACCAGGACGCCAGUUUUGGCGGAGCCAUCCUUGGGAUACCACCCUUGUAGUACUGGGACUCUAACCAUAGGCCAUGAAUCUGGUCUUGGGACACUGUCAGGUGGGCAGUUUGACUGGGGCGGUCGCCUCCCAAAAGGUAACGGAGGCGCUCAAAGGUUCUCUCAGUACGGUCGGAAAUCGUACGUAGAGUGUAAAGGCAAAAGAGAGCUUGAUUGCAAGACAUACAGGUCGAGCAAGGAUGAAAAUCGGACUUAGUGAUCCGGUGGUUCUGCGUGGAAGGGCCAUCGCUCAACGGAUAAAAGCUACCCUGGGGAUAACAGGCUUAUCUCCCCCAAGAGUCCACAUCGACGGGGAGGUUUGGCACCUCGAUGUCGGCUCAUCACAUCCUGGGGCUGUAGUAGGUCCCAAGGGUUGGGCUGUUCGCCCAUUAAAGUGGUACGCGAGCUGGGUUCAGAACGUCGUGAGACAGUUCGGUCCCUAUCCGUCGCAGGCGUAGGAAAUUUGAGAAGACCUGUCCUUAGUACGAGAGGACCGGGAUGGACGUACCUCUGGUGUACCAGUUG